GGCCAUGUAUGGCAUCUGCAAAACAACAAAGGGAGAGUCAUGGAUGGUUUUGAAAAAUGCCUCUUUAAUUUACUCAUCACAAUGGCUUUUGCAUUGCUUCAAUUUUUGAAAAACAAGUACAAUUUUUUCUUAAAAAUCCUUGUAGAUCUUUAAUGCAAAUAGUUAAAGGCUCACUGCCCUGGCAUGCUAAGAUUUAUCCUUAUUACUGUUAAUUGAUUAAUUGAGAGGAAAUUUUGCUUAAUAGCGAAAGAGAAAGUUUAGGCUUUGGGUGACCCAAAUUUAGUUUCUUAUCCUGCCACAGGCUUCCUGUAUAACCUUUAACCCUGCUGUAUUUUACUCUGUCACAUGCAGAAUUAGGAUAAUAGUACUUCCUUAUUUGAGAGGGAUGUAGGAAGUUAAGUGCAUUAGAAUAUGAAGUGUUCAGAUACUACAAAAGUGGGGAGGAGGCAUAUAAAUACCUACGCAUAUUCCAACAAUACUCCUCAGAGGCACAAGUGUGCUGAAUACUACACAAAACCUGGGUAAGUGCAUUUCCUAAGUACACCAGAUAAGUCAGUGAUGGAAAGAUUAGGUGACUUGUUAAUCAGCUGCAGCAAAAGCAUAGCUUUGUUAUUCGAAUGCAGUAGGAUAUUCAUUGACCCAUUCAGCUUUCAGGUCUCUGCUCCAGCAGUAUUUUGCUCAUAGCUUAGUGGGACAAGUCACGUAAAGAAAUUUUAGCAUAAGAACUCAGAUGCUGUGCUGACCUACAGACUACCAGCACAUGCUCAAAACUAUACUAAGCAACAUCCAUUGUGCUACAACAUAAGAUCUUAUGAUAAAGACAGUAUUGGUUAAAUGCUGCAUUUGCUUUCAAUGACAUUCGCUUUCUAGGUGACAGGAAGGAGAAGAGAAACACUGGGAAGAUUAUCAUCAAGAAAGUGGAAUUUCCGAUAUUCAAUCGUAAACAGUGUGGCAGACUCAACAUUUUUGUUAUUUUUGCUACAGUCUUAAGGUCUUGGAAGCAAAUUCAAGAUUAUGGCUUUCAGUCUCGGGGAGUUCGGAGGGCAGCAGCGGCGUGUUCCUUCCUCUACGCCACGGCUUGCGUCAUGCGCAGGGCCUCUGUUGAGAUCAAAGACAUUUGCUUUCUAUUAUCCUAUCUGGAAGAGAAGUUGACUGAUAAAGAAGUCUCCACCCUAAUGAUUAAACCCUAUUUGGAUUUAAAUACCUGGAUGAGACCCCUUCAGCCUGCAGGCAGGAUUAGGAGGCCCAUGACUCCAGUGCCCAUUUGCUAAUCUGGAUGCAGAACACACUCUGCCUGUCUGCAAAAUGUUGUGUCAUUUGGCUUUCAUAGUCGGUUACUGUCAUCCCAGGGCAUUUUUUUCUUCCAGUGGUGCCACUGGGAAAUGAAAUUGAGAUGAAUCCAUACUAAAUAGCUACAUGACAGCAAGAGCUGAGCAAAUAAAUAAGGGAAGAUUAUGGAGCA
RNAcentral lists this long non-coding RNA (1462 nucleotides) under Dromaius novaehollandiae (emu). RNAcentral describes it as "lncRNA (ENSDNVG00000015366.1)". The record is from RNAcentral. Lineage: Eukaryota; Metazoa; Chordata; Aves; Casuariiformes; Dromaiidae.